UAUUUUCACAUUUCCGUCAUGCCAAACAUCCCCUUCUCUCACCUCUCUUCUACUUUUAACCCUAACCCUAGUAGCCGCCUAGGAUUUCUCCUCUCUCUCAUGCCAAAAAUGGCAAUGGCGCAGAGAAGAGCAGACUCGUUCAGUCUCUACAUGUCCAUAUGAGGUAGCAUUAAUUGCUACUCCCCAUUUCUCCGCUCAUUCUCACCAAAUGCAACCUAAGCUAGGUUAUUCUCCCCCCCCCCCCCCCCCCCCUCUCUCUCUCUCUCUCUCUCUCUCAUUUUUCAUCAUUAUUUUUCAUCUAAACCAAGUACACAAUGCAUUGAUGACCUUGGUUUGAGCUGUUUCAACUCUCGGAUCUCAUUGGUUCUUCAUGAACCGACCGGAUCGAGGGUGAAUGAUUGAGAAUCGACUAUUCAAAAUUGUUUUUUGUUAAAUCUUAGCCUAUGGUUGUUUGAUGGAAGGAUGAUUUCUCAGAAAUCACACUAGUCCCACAUCGGUUGGGGAAUUAAGGUUGGGUAUUUAAGGGUUCUAUAAAUAGAACCUCCACUUCAUUGAAUUAAAGAGAAGAAGUUCUUGAACACUCAAGCAUGCGCAAAAGCUUAAGAUUUGAGUUUUGACUCGAGUUUUGGGCUGUGCUAGUGAAAUUUUGCACUUAACUGUUUUAAAGUUUAGGUUUCUAGUUCAAAAAAAUUGAUUUUUAUCUUCUUGUGUGUGGUUGAGUUGAGGACGGGAAGCAUAAAGGAUUUCAACUCUAUUCUUGCUCGCGGCUGCGUAUCAAAAAGGGCCGAGUCAAAACCCACCGGUUGGGCCAAGGCACAACAGGAAAUUCUUUCGAAAUAUGAUCGAGUCCAACGACGAAAGGGAAGCUAAUAUUAUAAGCACACAUAAAGCCCAACCAUGGGUGAAAAUGGCCAACUAGGGGCUUGGUACGCCCCUAGCCUGCCCCUCUUUAUUUAUUCGGCAUUUUUAUCAUUCUUGGGUUUGUUGUAUUUACUUGUAAAAAACUCAUAUAUGUUAUUGAAAUCCGUAUUGUUUGAACUA
Molecule: long non-coding RNA, 1041 nt
Organism: Lycium barbarum (goji berry)
Lineage: Eukaryota; Viridiplantae; Streptophyta; Magnoliopsida; Solanales; Solanaceae
Exons: 2
Source: RefSeq, a predicted model, not a curated record